Molecule: long non-coding RNA, 11527 nt
Filed under: Equus caballus (horse)
Lineage: Eukaryota; Metazoa; Chordata; Mammalia; Perissodactyla; Equidae
Description: lncRNA (ENSECAG00000053868.1)
Source: RNAcentral
UGGUAACCUCUAUUCUACUUUUUGCCUCUGAAGUUGCCUAUUCUAGGCACCUCAUACACGUGGCAUCAUAGAAUAUUUUCCCUUUUGUGUCUGGCGUCUUUCACUCAGUGUAAUGUUUUCAAGGUUCAUCCAGGCCACAACGUGUGUCAGUGCUUCACUCGCUUUUCAGGCUGAAUGAGAGUCCAAUGGUGUACAGGCGUCUAUUUGCGUCCCUGCGUUCAGUUCUUCUGGGUAUAUGUCUAGAUGUGGAACUGCUGGAUUACCUGGUAAUUCUAGGCUCAGCUUUGUCAGGAGACGCCAUACUGUUUUCCACAGUGGCUGCACCAUUUAUAUUCCCACCGGGAAUGCACGAUACCACUUGAUUUCAUAUUUUCGGAUUACUGCUCUUUCUUUGCUUCUUUUUGCCUGAUACGUGUUUUAGGAAAUUAGCACUGAUGGCAAAGUGGAGGAAGUUGAAAGUGAGAUUGGUUAGGAGGCCAUCACAGCAGUGUAGACAAGAGAUGAGGACGCCCUGAGCUAAGGCAGGGUGGUAGCAAGGAAAAAAACACAGAUCUAAGAGAGAUUUCAAACAUAGGCAUUGGAACAUUUUUUCGCUUAUUUAUUCUUUCAUUCCAGAAGUAUUUUGAAUGCCUGUGAUUUCAGGAAUGGGGAAGACAGAGAUGAACAAGAUAGUUAUGGUCCCUGCCCUCUUGGUACUCACAGUGUAAUGGAGGGGAUGGAUAUUAAUAAAAUAGCCACGUACAUAAAGGUCAGAGUGGAAAUGUGGAAAAUGUGGCAAAAGAGCAGUAAGAAGCGGGAAGAGUUUUGACCAAGUGUGACAGCCAGGGAAGGCUUCCCUGAGGAGGGCAUUUGGAUGAGGAGGAGUUAAUUGGGGGGGAUGGAUUGAAAGUGGGUGGCUAAUAGUGUUAUAGGCAGAGGAAACAGCAGAUGCAAAGGCCCUGUGGCAAGAGGGGGAGGGUACAGGAUUCUAAGAACAGAACGGAGGUCAGUAACAAUACUGGUGCAGUAUUGUUUCCAAUUCCAAAAUGUACAAAGCAAUCCAAGUGUUCAUAUAAGAGGAAUUCUUAAAUUAUGAUUCUGCUAUAGAAUGGGCUACUAUGCAGUCGUUAAAAUGGUGUAUAAAUCUGUUUACAUGAUAUUGAUAAAUAAUAAAAGCACGCUGGAACAGUGUAUAGAAUAUGAUCUUGUUUUUGUUUGUAUAUAAAUGUAGUCAAACAACGUGUAUUUAUUUCAAUAUGUAUGGUUUUACAGAAAAAGUCUGAAAUAUAUUCAUCAAAUGAUCCUCUCUAGGGAGUGGGAUUCUGCGUGAUUGUAAUUUUUUUCUUUUUGCUUAUUUAUAUCUAAAAAAUUUCUACAACAAAUGUGACUUACUUGUAUCAAAAAUAAAUUAAAGUAAGACAGUUCUGUGCCAGAAUCAGUAGACUUGGUACCCUUGGAUGUGGGGAAUGAGAGCAAGGUGACUGUCAGCAGUGACUCGGGUCGUGUUGUGGGUGGACGAUGCCUCCGCUAGUGCGGGGAGGGGACACAGCUUGAGCAGAGUGAGACGAAGGAGAAGAUCGCCAGUUAAGGCUCGGACAUUCUGAGCUGGAGAUAGAAAUGUCUGAUAGGACGUUGGGAAUGUGGUUCUGGAGCGUAACGGUGUCACAAGCGGCCGAGAGCUAAAGCACAGUGAAGGGGCCCUUAUGUUUUCUGAGCAGGAGGUUGUUGAUUGCCCUCGAGAGCCAGUAGGGUGGAGAAGAAGAUCCGAAUGCAGUAGGCUAACGAAGGAGUGGGAGAUGAGGAAGGAGAGGAAGGACUAGCAGCAGACAGGGGUGCCCUUUCCUGAUGUUCGGGCGAGAAGAAAAUCAGGAUUUUAGGACAGGACACAGAGCAGGUUUGGUGAGACAGAUUUAAAGAUCUUCAACAGAAAGUUUAAAAAAGCAGAGGGGCAAGAGUUAAUAAGUAAAACCACCCAGCAAAGUGUGUAUAGCAAGAAAAGAAACAUCCCUAGCCUGGACCUUGGUGAGUAAACGUAGUUGGACCAGGUGUAAAAUCCUGGAUUGCCAGUUUUUCUCUCAGUGCUUUGAAGAUGUUAUUCUGCUCUUUUCCAUUGUUUCUGACAAGAUGUCAGCUGUCAGUCUAGGUAAUCUGUCUUUUCUCUCUGGUGCUUUUAAGAAUUUCUUUUUGUCUUUGGUUUUUCUUAUUUAUCUUUCUUGGGGUUCAUUAGGUUUCUGAAAUCAGGGGACCCACAACCUUCCUCAGUUCCGGAAAAUGCACAGACAGCCUCCUCCGUGCAUGCCUCUGCCAUGUUCUCUCUGUGCUGCUGUGCUGCUAAUCAGACGCGUGAACCCCUCUAGCCGGCCGCCAUUCCUCUUAACCCCUCUUCUCCAUUUUUAAUCUCUUUGUCUCUUUAUGCUGCACCUGAAUCUAAUUUCUUUAUAUUUCAGUUUAUCCUUUCUCACUUUUAAUUGAUUAUUUUUAUCCAAAUUACACAAACGUAUGGUUUAAAGAGCCAAAUAAUUAUACAAGGCUUGUGACAAAAAAGUGGUGGUUCCCUGAUCAUUCUUCCUUAUUUUUGAUCUCUAGGAACUUUCAACUGAAUCUUUUAAUAUUUGCCUCAGUAAAUCUAAAUAACAGGGCUGUGUUGCUGCUUCUCGGCUUUUCCGUUUGGGCGCGGUCUCUUGUUCUGUACCGUGGGAGAUGCGGGUGUAGCUGUGGUUCCUCUCCCCACUCACGCAGAAGCCCCUCCCAACGCACGCGCUCCCAUCCCCAGACGUCAGAGACGCUUCGUAUUGUUCGUAUCUUAUGACUGAAAACUCUGCUCGCUGCUGAGCCUUCAUCCAUCGUCCUUUCCUGCAGUGCUUUAUUUUUUCCCUUGGAUUAAUGCUUAGCACUUAGUUUUCCAUGCACAUACGCUAACUGGAGCCUAAACUCUCCUCUGGUGGUGUAACUGUCUUUUCAACGUGCUCAAACACGUAGGCGUUCAGUCAGUUUCGUCUUGAAGAAGGCUUUCCCAGAGCCGUCCGCCCGACCCCUCUGGAGGGCUGGUUUCCAGGUCUGCGCCCGCCUCUUACCCUGCACUCUCCCUCUGCCAUCAGGCCAAGGCUUUCCUUUGCUUCUUUCUCCCGUUUGUCCCCUGGCUCCUGUUAUCUUCCUCACCGGUUUACUGCAUCUCUUUGGUGCAGCACGUCCUCCAGUGGCUUCCUGAGAAACGGUGCUCGGAAGAUCAUUUUUUGCAGAACUUACAUGUCUAAAAGUGUCUUGGGCUGUCCUCACACUUAGAUAACCCCUUCGGAUUGCACAGUUGGAUUUCCAACUUCAAGUUCCAGUAGUUGAAUUUUCCUUCAGAAUUUUGAAAGUUUUCCUGCAUUUUCUUCUAGUUUCUGAUGUUGCUAUUGAAAUUUUGACACUUUUCUUUUUCUCGAUCCUUUGUAUGAAAGCUGUUAUUCUUUCUGGAACCUUAGAGAAUCUUCUCUUUGUUCCGAGUGCUCUGAAACUUGACAGUGAGAUGUCUUGGUUUGGGUCUCCUCAUCUACCCUGCUGGGCACCUGGCAGGGAAACGUUCUUGAAUUAUUUUCUAUCCUUCGUUCCUAAAAUUCUAUCCUUCUGGAACUUCUAUCACAGAAAUGUUGGACCUUCUACUCUGGUCCUCUACGUUUUUCUUUCUCCUGUUGUUUUUACUUUUAUUGUUUUGUUCUAGUUUUCAUUCCUUCUGUUAAAUCUUUCGUCUCUGUGAUUACUUUUAUAUUUUCCAGAGCAUCUUUUUUAUACUCUGAGUGUUUUUUAAACAUCAUUUCUUUUUUUUUUUUAAACCUCAACAAAAUUUUUACUUGAUGAGAUAAGUCUAAAGUUCAGUCUUUCACAAGGAGUUGAGCAUAGUCCACUCUUCUAGAGAAGUAGGGGGAAAUUACCUAUCAGAAUUCAAGGCUUACAAAGUUACAGUAACAGUGAACAUCAUUUUCCUGUUUCAUGGAUGCAAUAACUUUUCUUAAUCUAUCUGAGGCUGUGGACACCCUUCUCUGCCCAAUUUUCUUUUCCCUGCGUAGUCUGUUCUUUAGGCCUCUGUCUUUCAUAUCGGAAGAUUUCCUGAAGUGUCUGCUGAUCUUUGGCUGUCCCUCUGCUCACAUUGAAGAAUGGGCAUGAGCUGUCUGGGGACUCGGGGUGCAGCGGUUGGGGCUGGCCCGCGGUGGCUUCACUGCAGGCGACGUGACUGAGCUGUUUAUUGGGAAGGCUCGAUGUCGGACUCUUUCUCUCUCUCCCCUUGGGCUGGUCAGCUCCUCCGAGAGGGCUUUUCCAGCCUCCUGCUAGGAUUCUGGGAGCCGAGCAGAAGAAGCCGGGGGCUCUCAACACCACCUCCCCUCCUUUUGUUCGUUAGAUACCCCAGUCCUCAACUGUUUUACCCCCGGAGCAGCUUCAGUCUCUUGCUGCGGUGGCAGAGAGGCAGUCAACAGCUGCUGGCACGGGGGCUCACUACCUUCUAAGUGGGAUUUCAUGCAGUGCUGUUCUUGUCUCAUCCCCCUCCCUCCACUUCAGAGCAGCCUGAGUCUUCAGAGCCCUCUCCUGCUGACUCGGGGUUCAGUGCUCUCGAGGCUGCUGUCAAUUAACUCUCUCCCCUGUUUACCAGCCCCGCACCUUCUCUCGCUGUCUCCUUUCCCUGCUCUCCAUCCUCGUCGUUAGGAAGGCAUAGGAGGGUCUCUCACAUUUUCCCCUUGCUCUCCAGCCAGGGCGCAGAGAGGGCUGUAUCUCUGCUCGUUCCUUCUGUAGAGUGGAUGGAGGGGAGGUGGCCUGUCACGGAGCCACGCUUGGGGAGCCACGCUUGGGGCGGGGGGAGAGUCUCUGAUGCAACUUCCACCUUUGGUAGCCCAGACGCUGUCUUGUCUCCUGACUGAGCAGCCUGUUGGGACCCAAGCCCUAGGUCACUAGGCACCAGCAGACGCCCCAGGACAGUACUGGGCAGCUACAGAACCCAUCCCCUCGGCUUCACAAUGGCUUGUUCUUUCCACCUCUGAUGAUCUCCUUUAUUUUCCUCUUGACGUGGACCUAAAAAUAUUAUUUAAAAAAAUUAGAACAGUAGAUAUUAAAGAAUCAUGUUUAGGACUUCUGCAACAGGAAGGUUUCCACAGACACCUAGUCUGCCAGCUUGCCAGACACGGAGGCCCUGCCUUUGUUCGUGCGGCACUAUAGGCAGCUCGCCAGCUCCGCGGCAGGCACAGCCACGUGGGCCUCAGGCCUCCCUGGCAGCGCGUGAGACUGGUGGUUGGUGCCAUGACUUCCAUUGGACAGCUCGAGACGCCGGAUGAUAAAUACACGGGGAGCUGGUGGCAGAGCUGAUGGUAAAAACCUGGGUUUGAAGCUCUUUUUCAUGAUCUUCGUCUCAGACAUGGGUCUUCUCUAGUCCCAAUGGAAGCCGUGGAGUGGCUUCUCCACUCGAGGGGAUUCUACUAACAAAACUGUUCCGUAGAACCCAGGUUCACGAACAACCCUGGCGUUGUGACCGAGCAUGAUAGCAGUCCUGUCAUACAUGUGUUUCUCCCAUCCCUCAUUUCUCUGUCCUCCACACAGUGACACAGGAUGAAAUAAGGUAAAGCCUAGGCCAGGCUCGACCUCCAGGUUGCACAGUUUCCACUCAUAGUCAGGUCUGGCCAAGAGGAGAACUCACCCGCAGUCGUGCUGGGUGGAUUGGGAGAGUGGUGAGCUGAGAGCUGGAAAAUGGCUCUUUAUUACUGGAAUGUUCCCACCCACCAUGUCAUGGUUCUCCUGGGAGAGCGGCCGUGGGCGUUUGGGGGCCGGGGACAAUUGACAUCAGCGGGCAUUUUCCAGGAAACUAUUUUACUUUGCAAACUCCUAUUUUCUGAAACUGGUGGUUUUAACUAGUUUCUCUUUCUUCUGCGUUAGUUGCUGGAGGACAUCCUCCCAGGUGAUCUUGUUUUUAUUAAAAAAAGGAGUCAGUCGUCGACAUAAAAGUUAAUGGCCACAGCGUGCGGCCAGCUCUUUUCGUGCUUUGGUUUGUUUUCCUUUAUGUGCCCCGCGCCUGUGCCCUGACGCGCUCUCCUUGUCCCCACAGGUACUGUGACUGCUUUGCCAGCGGGGACUUUUGCAACAACUGCAACUGUAAUAAUUGUUGCAACAAUUUACGUCAUGAAAUUGAGCGGUUUAAGGCCAUUAAGGUAACAAAUUUCCCUUAAAUAUAUGCAUUUUAAAAGUGCUUACGAGGUGCAUAAGACUGUCUCCAGAGGUUCCUACUUUCGAUAUUGGGAAGACCCAGGGUGCUGGAGGACGCACAGUGACUGGGACUCCAUCCUGGAGGUGCGGGCGCUGGCCGCGGUGAGGGCUUUCUCCUCCAUGCGCAGGGGACGGCUUCUGAGGGGCAGCAGAGCCUCGGGAGGUGAGAACAUGCAGAUGUCCACUCUGCCUUGAUCUGCGGACUAGAAACUUGGGUUGUAUUACGUAGCAGGUAAGCCUGAGCUGUUAGAGUGUCGUGUGAAAGGCGAGGCUAGCCCGCUGUACAAAAUACGGGCGAAAGCUCUCCGUCCUAUGCUGGCUUUCCUGAGGGGCAAACAGCACCUCGCGUGGCCCCGCAGGCCGCAGGCUCGAGGCUGAAUGCAGGAGCCCACAGUCUCCAUCCCUUUCUGCAGGCACAAGAGAUCAUGAGAGGAGGCAGGACAGCUGGGUUUGGGGCCUGCAGCCUGCUCGGGGCUGGCUUGGGGCCGCUGGUUUACAAAGGGGGCUUGAAGGCCAUCACCUGUAGGCUGGAGAUGGUCACACUGAGCCAUGGCUGCUCUGAUUUCUUCCUAAAGUCAUUUAAUUCCCCUCUUGAAUUAGAGAUAAAUCAGUGGAAAGUACCUUAUCAAUUUUGACGUUGCCAGACCCAUAGGACAGAAGAAAAUUAUGAUGCACUAAAGAUCAGUAGUAUAGUAGCAUUUUCCUUAGGGGAAGGGGCACCAUCUGCAAUUAAAAGUGUAAAGAGUUUUGGAGGCCAGCCCUGUGGCCAAGUGGUGAAAGCUCCGUGCGCUCCGCUUCAUGGGCCCGGGGUUUGUGGGUUUGGAUCCCGAUACGGACCUACUCCAUUGAUCAGCCGUGCCGUGGAGGCAUCCCACACACAAAGUGGAGGAAGCUUGGCACAGAUGUCACCUCAGGGCGAAUCUUCCUCACACACACACACACAAAAGUAAAAAGUUUUAUUUAAGAAGUGUUGGAAUUCUCAUGCAGUGUUGGUAGGAAUAGAAAUUGGUGCCACCACUUUGGGAAGUUGUUGGGCAGUAGUUACUAAGGCUGAUCCUUUGUAUGAGCAGUGAUGCCGCAGUUUCAUCCCUAAAAAUGUAGCCAGGAGAAAUGAGUGCGCAUGUCUACCAGGCUCGUGCAAGAAUGCCCACGGCAGCUGUGUUCACAACAGCCCCAAACUGGAAACACCCCAACGGUAGAAGGGCUGAGUCUGUUGAGGUGUGUCAUGUAGUGGAAUACUACACAUCACUGAAAAAGGAGGAGCUACAGCACUGUGCAACAGCAUGGGUCAAUCUCACAGACACUGUGCUAAUGAGAGAAGCCAGACCUAGAAGAGCACAUGCUGUGUGGUUCCACUUAUAUGAAAGUUCCAGAGCAUGCAACACUAAUGCGGCUAAAGUCAGAAGAGUGGUCCCCACUGGGCUGUGUCAAUGGGAGGAGUCAGGAGGGAGCCUCUGGGGCCUGGAUGUCCUCUAACUCGACCUGGGGUGGGUGACACAGGGGCACACGCAGGCCCAAGCUGAUCACGCUCCACCCUGCAGACCGUGCCUUCACUGCCCCUCAGACUUCAGUAGAAAGUAGGCUACGCUGACAGGCAGCCUCACCCGGGCUCUGUGCCACCCAGAGGACCUUCUGUGAGGAUGGGGAUUUCUAGUGGCCCUGGCGCGGGACGGCACAGGUCCCAGGUGUUGACCUGUGGAGGGGAGAGGGAGGGACAGGGGUGCCACUGCGACUUCUAGGCUGCUCGAGUUUCCCGCAAGAGCCCUGAAUUACUUUGUUAUAAAAACAUGUGCACGUUUGUAUGUCUUGAUAGAGAGUAGACAGAUAGGGAAGAAAGUUAAAAUAAAUGAACAAACCAGGAUAAAAAGCCAUGCGUGCUGUAUGAGAAAGGUGUGGCCCGCUGCUUGUGACCCUGGGCUGGACUGGAGCCUGGGGACUUGGUCGGAGUCAUCACUGGCCGUUUGUGAUUGAACCUCUCAGCGUGUCAGUUUCUUCAUCUGUAAGAGAGAAAGGACAGCAGUACACACUUCACAAGGCUGCUGUGAGGUGGAAUGAGAGAAGGCACGUAAAUCACGUAGAAAGAUGCCUGGGACAUGGGAGCUGUUUAUAAACGCGAGCCGUGAGCAGAGCACCACGCGCCCAACCAUCUUAGGAAACGUGUACAAGAAAUGCCGGAAGGAGACGCGCCCACGUGGACACGUGGUUUCCUUUGUCUUCACCAUCUGUUGAUUUGACAGUAAAUGUGUGAGACUUUCAAACUCGGCAAACAAGCCAAGCCUGGGGAGCUGUGGCUGCAGCGUGCCUUUAAGUAAUGGACCGAGAUGAAACAGGAAGCCGUGCGCUUUCCCAAGUGAGGAGACGCGCUGCUCAUGGUGGCUCCUCCUAAAGGAACAGCUAGAUCAAAAGGACAGGCAAACGAGAUAUCUCCCACUGAACUUUAUUUUUAAAUAAUAAAAUGUAUUUUCUCUUAGGCUUGUCUUGAUAGAAAUCCAGAAGCUUUCCAACCAAAAAUUGGGAAAGGAAAAUUGGGAGACGUUAAGCCUCGCCAUAACAAAGGAUGUAAUUGCAAGAGGUCAGGCUGCCUUAAGAAUUACUGUGAAUGCUAUGAGGUUAGUGAUCAAUUUCCUAGUAUUUUUUUUAAAAAAAAUAGGUAAAUAUUUUGGCCUAAGUAGCUUUUGUGGUUAAAAAAAAACAAACUUUACUGUAUAGCCAAGAUACAGAAACAACCUAAGCGCCCAGUGACAGAUGAAUGGAUAAAGAAGAUAUGGUGUGUGUCUACAAUGGAAUGUUACUUAGCCGCAAAAAAGAAGGAAAUCUGGUCAUUUGUGACAACAUGGAUGGACCUUGAGGAUAUUAUGCUAAGCGAAAUAAGUUAGAUGGAGAAAGACAAAUACCAUAUGAUUCCACUCAUAUGUGGAAUCUAUAAAAAACUAAACAAAGAAACAGACAAAAUAAAAGAAAAAUAAACUCAUAGAUACAGACAACAGAUUGGUGGUUAACAGAAGGGAAUGGGGUCGGGGAUGGUGAAAUGGGUAAAGGGGGUCAAUUGUAAGACGCAUGGAAACAGGACUUCUGGUGGUAAGCACGCUGUAGUGAAUACAGAGAUCGAGUUAUAAUGUUGUACACCUGAAACUUACAUAAUGUUAUACACCAGCAUUACCUAAAGAAACAACUUUACUAUAGUUUAAAAAGAAAAAUAUAAUUUAGUUUUCUUCCUUCCAUGGUUUCUAAAAGGGCACUCAUAUAAUCCCUACUAAUUCCUCAAAUAUCACUUACACUUUAUGAAGGAAGUAAAUUAACCCAGGGCUCCCUUGGGAGCAUGUAGCCUCCUCAGGCCCACCCCUCAGUGUCCAGGGAGGUGCCCACGGCUGUGGCUUUGUCUGUUCUGCAGCUGCUGAUCUGAUGCUCUGAGCCACACUCGGGAGCCAGCAGUUCUGGGGCUCCUCGAGGGGGGCCAUGCCUCUUCCUCUCUGAGCAGAGGGGAGAUGCUCUCGGUGGGGCCGUGGGGGACAGCAGGUCCCCCGGGGAGCCUUGUAGCCCAGUGAACAUUUGCCUGGGUGCUUGGGGUGGGGAGCUCCUGCGGGGCCCCUCAAACCAGAACGGGCAGUCGGCCUUUGCCACUAGAGAGAUGACAGCAUGGGGCAGACCCGUUCUUAGAGACAAGCUUUUUUCUUUCUCUCAAAGAUAUAACGGUAGUAGAGGGCCUCGCCUUCUGCUUUAGUUUCAUGGUUCUCUCGCCUCCCUCUCUCUUUCUUUGUGUGUUAAAGGAAGAGAGAGGAAGGGAGGGACCCCUCAGGCCCUGUCAGUGAAGCAGCCAGGAAACACCCUUAAAAGGCUCUCCUUUGAUUUGCUUGAGGCCUUGGGGGUACCUGUGGGUUUGAUUUUUAAAAGGUUGUCGUAGAAGGUCAGGCUUUAGAAAAGUCCUCAUGGUUCUGGAGACACACAUUGAAAGACCCAGCAGUCCCCCAGCUAGGAUUUUGAAAAUACAGUCAAAAACAUUGCAGAGAUACAGAAUUCAAAAAGUGAGUGACGUCACCCCAGUGGACCCAUUUUCAAAUGUCCUCAUGGGCCCCUCUCUGCCUUGCACAGUGCCCUCCCUGGCCGCCAUGAGACAGUGAGUCAGCCCCUCUCCAGAGGCCCAGCUCUGCCAGACAACGGCCCACGUGACGUGCAGACAUGUCUGCACUGUAAUGUCUGGCAUUGGAGUAGACCAGAAAUCCUGAAAAACCUUCUGCUUGAAACACCCAGAGCUGCAGAAUAAAACACAGCAGAUCCCCUUUGAGAUGCGUCUCUGAGCUGAAAAGAACAGAGGGAAAUCCCCAGGGGCUGAAACGACAAGCCGAAAACCAGAGUGGCUGGCUGGGCCAGCUUUCAGACUGCCCCAGGACCAGCACGAGCAAGGGGUUGGACCCAGGCUUGCCGGGCACACCUGGGACCCCCGCACCCCUGGCGCCUGAGCAUCACGCUGCCGUGUGACAAAAACAAAGUCCACCCACAAGGAAGCAGGAAGGGCUCCCUUAGCACGCCCGGCACAGGCCUGCGCCCGGUGGGUUUCCGGUUCUGCCCACCUGCACCUUCCCUGCACCAGCAGCGCCCGCGUAUCGCCCCGGCUGCUGCAAGAGAGGCGCUGGACUUGCUUACAGAGCUGGACCUCACAGCCCAGCCGCUAGAGCAGCUUCCCUCCGACGGGUCCCCGGAGGCGCUUCGCUGGGUUCCCAGCGGACAAGGGACAGCGCGCCCUCCCUUUGCCUGGGACUCCCAGCCACGCUCGCCCACCAGCCUUCCGCAGCCCACUCCCCACCUUCCUUGUCAGCAGCACACUGUGUCCCCACAGCAGUGACACGUGCGGAAAUGCACAUCGCUCUCUUCACAUCACGGUCAUUUCCUCCUCUGCGUUUCUGCCCUUUUUGGGGGGUAUGAAAAUUGCAGAUCACAUAUACACACGAAUAUAAACAAAGAGCUCUUUAAGGCCCGAAUAGAAUUUGUUGGUUUUUGGUGAAUUGUAGGGCAAUGUAAUUUUAUUGAGGCAUUUUAUAUUACCAGGCCAAAAUUAUGUGCUCUUCUAUUUGCAAAUGCAUUGGUUGCAAAAAUUAUGAAGAAAGCCCAGAACGAAAGACACUAAUGAACAUGCCCAACUACGUGGAAAUUGGAGGCGUUGAAGGCAGCCAUCAUUGGUCACCAAGUAAAUUUUCAGGACUACCAAAAUUCAGAAAAGAUAGUGCAUUAGAAACAGAAGUCGACGGGCUGCAUCUUAGAAAGUGGUCAGCUGUGACCCUUCCGUCUUUCUUAGACCCCUCUCCUGCGCUCGGACCUCCCCAGCUUCCCG